AACGAACGCUAGCGGCGUGGAUAAGACAUGCAAGUCGAACGGGACAACAUCUGUAGCAAUACAGGUGUUGUUUAGUGGCGAACGGGUGCGUAACACGUGGGCAAUCUGCCGAGAAGUGGGGGAUAGCUCGCCGAAAGGCGAAUUAAUACCGCAUAUGAUCAGCUAAGACAUCUUAGCGACAUCAAAGCCGGGGCAACCUGGCGCUUUUUGAGGAGCCCNCGGCCUAUCAGCUAGUUGGUGAGGUAACGGCUCACCAAGGCCUAUGACGGGUAGCUGGUCUGAGAGGACGACCAGUCACACUGGAACUGAGACACGGUCCCAGACACCUACGGGUGGCAGCAGUCGAGAAUUUUUC
RNAcentral lists this ribosomal RNA (355 nucleotides) under uncultured bacterium. Its description in RNAcentral is "bacterial SSU rRNA". It matches the Rfam family "Bacterial small subunit ribosomal RNA", at positions 29 to 367 of the family's 1533-position model. The record is from RNAcentral.